GACAGAGGCCUCAAGCGUUAGGCGGAAUCACUGGGCUUAAAGCGUGUGUAGGCGGAUCGUUAAGUGCCUUGUGAAAUCCCACGGCUUAACUGUGGAACGGCUGGGCAUACUGGCGGUCUUGAGCCAUCUAGGGGCGACUGGAACAAACGGUGGAGCGGUGAAAUGCGUAGAUAUCGGUUGGAACGCCAAUGGUGAAAACAGGUCGCUGGGGAUGAGCUGACGCUGAGACGCGAAAGCGUGGGGAGCAAACAGG
This 253-nucleotide ribosomal RNA is filed under the name uncultured bacterium. RNAcentral's name for it is "partial 16S ribosomal RNA". It matches the Rfam family "Bacterial small subunit ribosomal RNA", at positions 524 to 776 of the family's 1533-position model. The record is from RNAcentral.